GAUGAACGCUGACAGAAUGCUUAACACAUGCGAGUCAACUUGAACUUCGGUUUGGGUGGCGGACGGGUGAGUAACGCGUAAGGAACUUGCCUCACAGCUAGGGACAACAUUUGGAAACGAAUGCUAAUACCUGAUAUUAUGAUUAUAUGGCAUCGUAUAAUUAUGAAAGCUAUAUGCGCUGUGAGAGAGCUUUGCGUCCCAUUAGCUAGUUGGAGAGGUAACAGCUCACCAAGGCGAUGAUGGGUAGCCGGCCUGAGAGGGUGAUCGGCCACAAGGGGACUGAGACACGGCCCUUACUCCUACGGGAGGCAGCAGUGGGGAAUAUUGGACAAUGGACCGAGAGUCUGAUCCAGCAAUUCUGUGUGCACGAUGAAGUUUUUCGGAAUGUAAAGUGCUUUCAGUUGGGAAGAAAAAAAUGACGGUACCAACAGAAGAAGUGACGGCUAAAUACGUG
Molecule: ribosomal RNA, 454 nt
Filed under: uncultured bacterium
Lineage: Bacteria
Description: partial 16S ribosomal RNA
Rfam family: Bacterial small subunit ribosomal RNA
Source: RNAcentral